Molecule: RNA transcript, 1284 nt
Organism: Asparagus officinalis (garden asparagus)
Lineage: Eukaryota; Viridiplantae; Streptophyta; Magnoliopsida; Asparagales; Asparagaceae
Gene name: beta-galactosidase 2-like
Exons: 6
Source: RefSeq, a predicted model, not a curated record
AUUAUUGCUUUAUGUGUAUUUGUGUUUAUUAAUAGUAUAUUUCAUUAUUUUUUAACAGAAGAACACAUUCUAAUACAUGAGAGUAGAAACACCAAAUAUAAUCAGUUGAAUGUUAAUCAGAAGAGAACUUACAUUCAGAAGGUCAUUGAUAAUAAUAUAAAAAGGAAAAGAAAUGAUUUUGCUGGCAGUAGUACCAAUAGCAAGUUACAGUGGGAAAUGCAGAACUUAACCCAGAAGUUCGUUGGAAUGAUGAAAUCAGAAAAUAUAUCCCAAUGGCAGGGUGGCACUAUUAUCGUAUCUCAGAUUGAGAAUGAAUUUAGGCAUCUAGAACGGGAUCAGGGGGCUCCAGCAAAAUCUUAUGCAUGUUGGGCAGUGAAAAUGAAACUCGACCUUGACACUGGGAUUCAAUGGAUCAUGUGCAAAGAAGAUGUGACGCCCCUGGGUUCACACAAGGCUGCAGUCCAAGUUCCUCCAGGCGAUGAAGGUUGGUUAUGCCCAGCCUGUUGUUGCAAGAUAGACUGCAUUAAAUUAUUAAACGAGCUUCAAGGAAGUAAUUUAUCUAUUAAGGAUACAUGGGAGAUAUGCUAUAUAGGUUUGCUAUUGCUCACAGAUCGGUGUAAGAUUCUUGCUGAUGCUCAUUUUGAUUUUUCAUCAUCAUUUCUGAUGCAAAUUAAUUCUUGGACAAACCUUAAAAGAAAACAAUACAAGUGUCAUUGGUUAGGUUAUUACUUUUAGGAUAAGCAUUAACCUUGCAUGGUAAUUGCUUGAAUUCUAAGCAACUUUUCAUUAGUUUAAUUAGGAAGAUAUGGUUAUUUUUUAGCCAAAUUCACAACCUUUUGUUUUCUUUUGUAUAAAUUUCAGGUUUACAGGGUUUGGAGGUCCAGUUCAUUAUCAACACGUUGAAGAUGUGGCCUUUCCUAUUGUACAGUUUAUAUAGAAAGGUGGAUCUUAUUUCAACUACUAUAUGGGAGAAAAAGUACAUUGAAGUAAUGAAGCAUAAAUAGUAAUGAAGCAUAUGGAUUCCUGUCAGUAAAUAGUAAUGAAGCAUAUGGACGGUUAGAUCGUGAGAUUUCUUUGGGUGUACCUGAUGAAAAAACCACUGCUAGAGAUCCUGUCAGUUCUUACUCGAAAAUGUAAAUGUGUGUUUUGGAGAGAGUGGAGUCAAUGAGAUAUAGUUUUAUAUAAUAAUUAGUCCUUUUGAACUUUGAAGUGUUUCAUAAAAUUUCAAAAUGAGUAUUGCAUGAUUGCAAGGUUAGGUGAUCAAUGGAUUCCUAUCAUUCAAUU